RNAcentral lists this ribosomal RNA (404 nucleotides) under Fusobacteriota bacterium. Its description in RNAcentral is "Fusobacteria bacterium partial 16S ribosomal RNA". It matches the Rfam family "Bacterial small subunit ribosomal RNA", at positions 355 to 776 of the family's 1533-position model. Lineage: Bacteria; Fusobacteriati; Fusobacteriota. The record is from RNAcentral.
UGGGGAAUAUUGCACAAUGGAGGGAACUCUGAUGCAGCGACGCCGCGUGAGUGAUGAAGGAAUUCGUUUCGUAAAACUCUGUUCUAUGGGAAGAAAAGGACUGUACCAUAGGAGAAAGCUCCGGCUAAAUACGUGCCAGCAGCCGCGGUAAUACGUAUGGAGCGAGCGUUGUCCGGAAUUAUUGGGCGUAAAGGGUGCGCAGGCGGCUUUACAAGUUGGAUGUGAAAUAUUGUGGCUCAACCACAAACGUGCAUCCAAAACUGCAAAGCUUGGGUUAAGGAGAGGUAAGUGGAAUUCCUGGUGUAGCGGUGGAAUGCGUAAAUAUCAGGAGGAAUACCGGUGGCGAAGGCGACUUACUGGACUUAAACUGACGCUCAGGCACGAAAGCGUGGGGAGCAAACAGG